GUGUCAGCAGCCGCGGUAAUACAGAGGGUGCAAGCGUUGUUCGGAAUUAUUGGGCGUAAAGCGCGUGUAGGCGGUGAUGCAUGUCGGGUGUGAAAGCCCUCAGCUUAACUGAGGAAGUGCGCCCGAAACUGCAUCGCUGGAGUGUCGGAGAGGAAGGCGGAAUUCCCGGUGUAGAGGUGAAAUUCGUAGAUAUCGGGAGGAACACCAGUGGCGAAGGCGGCCUUCUGGACGAACACUGACGCUGAGACGCGAAAGCGUGGGUAGCAAACAGGAUUAGAAACCCUGGUAGUCC
RNAcentral lists this ribosomal RNA (292 nucleotides) under uncultured bacterium. Its description in RNAcentral is "partial 16S ribosomal RNA". It matches the Rfam family "Bacterial small subunit ribosomal RNA", at positions 505 to 796 of the family's 1533-position model. The record is from RNAcentral.